RNAcentral lists this ribosomal RNA (392 nucleotides) under uncultured bacterium. Its description in RNAcentral is "partial 16S ribosomal RNA". It matches the Rfam family "Bacterial small subunit ribosomal RNA", at positions 523 to 918 of the family's 1533-position model. The record is from RNAcentral.
AUACGGAGGAUCCAAGCGUUAUCCGGAUUUAUUGGGUUUAAAGGGUGCGCAGGCGGCCAUUUAAGUCAGCGGUUAAAUCGUGGGGCUCAACCCCAUUCUGCCGUUGAUACUGGGUGGCUUGAUUGCGGUCGAGGUUGGCGGAAUUCGUUGUGUAGCGGUGAAAUGCAUAGAUAUGACGAAGAACACCGAUUGCGUAGGCAGCUGACCAGACCGCAAAUGACGCUCAUGCACGAAAGUGCGGGGAUCGAACAGGAUUAGAUACCCUGGUAGUCCGCACAGUAAACGAUGAAUACUUGUUUUCGGCGAUAUAAUGUCGGAGGCAAAGCGAAAGCGAUAAGUAUUCCACCUGGGGAGUACGCCGGCAACGGUGAAACUCAAAGGAAUUGACGGGG